Molecule: ribosomal RNA, 1381 nt
Filed under: uncultured bacterium
Lineage: Bacteria
Description: 16S ribosomal RNA
Rfam family: Bacterial small subunit ribosomal RNA
Source: RNAcentral
UUCGCCCUUAGAGUUUGAUCCUGGCUCAGGACGAACGCUGGCGGCGCGCCUAACACAUGCAAGUCGAACGAGAGAUGAGGAGCUUGCUCUUCAAAUCGAGUGGCGAACGGGUGAGUAACGCGUGAGGAACCUGCCUCAAAGAGGGGGACAACAGUUGGAAACGACUGCUAAUACCGCAUAAGCCCACGGCUCGGCAUCGAGCAGAGGGAAAAGGAGCAAUCCGCUUUGAGAUGGCCUCGCGUCCAAUUAGCUAGUUGGUGAGGUAACGGCCCACCAAGGCGACGAUUGGUAGCCGGACUGAGAGGUUGAACGGCCACAUUGGGACUGAGACACGGCCCAGACUCCUACGGGAGGCAGCAGUGGGGGAUAUUGCACAAUGGGGGAAACCCUGAUGCAGCGACGCCGCGUGGAGGAAGAAGGUUUUCGGAUUGUAAACUCCUGUCGUUAGGGACGAUAAUGACGGUACCUAACAAGAAAGCACCGGCUAACUACGUGCCAGCAGCCGCGGUAAAACGUAGGGUGCAAGCGUUGUCCGGAAUUACUGGGUGUAAAGGGAGCGCAGGCGGGAAGACAAGUUGGAAGUGAAAACCAUGGGCUCAACCCAUGAAUUGCUUUCAAAACUGUUUUUCUUGAGUAGUGCAGAGGUAGAUGGAAUUCCCGGUGUAGCGGUGGAAUGCGUAGAUAUCGGGAGGAACACCAGUGGCGAAGGCGGUCUACUGGGCACCAACUGACGCUGAGGCUCGAAAGCAUGGGUAGCAAACAGGAUUAGAUACCCUGGUAGUCCAUGCCGUAAACGAUGAUUACUAGGUGUUGGGGGAUUGACCCCCUCAGUGCCGCAGUUAACACAAUAAGUAAUCCACCUGGGGAGUACGACCGCAAGGUUGAAACUCAAAGGAAUUGACGGGGGCCCGCACAAGCAGUGGAGUAUGUGGUUUAAUUCGAAGCAACGCGAAGAACCUUACCAGGUCUUGACAUCCGAUGCAUAACACAGAGAUGUGUGAAAUCCUUCGGGACAUCGAGACAGGUGGUGCAUGGUUGUCGUCAGCUCGUGUCGUGAGAUGUUGGGUUAAGUCCCGCAACGAGCGCAACCCUUAUUGCCAGUUACUACGUUAAGAGGACUCUGGCGAGACUGCCGUUGACAAAACGGAGGAAGGUGGGGAUGACGUCAAAUCAUCAUGCCCUUUAUGACCUGGGCUACACACGUACUACAAUGGCGAUAAACAAAGAGAAGCAAGACCGCGAGGUGGAGCAAAACUCAAAAACAACGUCUCAGUUCAGAUUGCAGGCUGCAACUCGCCUGCAUGAAGUCGGAAUUGCUAGUAAUCGCGGAUCAGCAUGCCGCGGUGAAUACGUUCCCGGGCCUUGUACACACCGCCCGUCA